This 117-nucleotide ribosomal RNA is filed under the name Labrus bergylta (ballan wrasse). The record is from RNAcentral. Lineage: Eukaryota; Metazoa; Chordata; Actinopteri; Labriformes; Labridae.
GCUUACGGCCAUACCACCCUGAACACGCCCGAUCUCGUCCGAUCUCGGAAGCUAAGCAGGGUCGGGCCUGGUUAGUACUUGGAUGGGAGACCGCCUGGGAAUACCAGGCUGUAAGCU